This is a long non-coding RNA of Solanum tuberosum (potato), 341 nucleotides long. RefSeq lists it as uncharacterized. The record is from RefSeq and is a predicted model, not a curated record. The transcript has 3 exons. NCBI's taxonomy places the organism in Eukaryota, Viridiplantae, Streptophyta, Magnoliopsida, Solanales, Solanaceae.
UGAUGCUACCAAGUUUGUCCGUCUCAGGGUGUUCUUCUCUAUGGGCCUCCUGGGACUGGCAAGACCUUGUUAGCCAGGGCAAUUGCUAGCAACAUUGAUGCCAAUUUCUUAAAGGUAGUAUCAAGUGCCAUUAUUGAUAAAUACAUAGGUGAGAGUGCGAGAUUAAUCCGGGAAAUGUUUAAUUAUGCUCGUGAUCACCAACCUUGCAUCAUUUUCAUGGAUGAGAUUGAUGCAAUUGGUGGACGUCGAUUUAGCGAGGGAACAAGUGCAGAUCGUGAAAUUCAGAGAACGCUCAUGGAAUUGCUUAAUCAGUUGGAUGGAUUUGACCAUAUUGGAAAGGU